CCGAAUGGAAUUCACAUUUGACAUUUUCAUCAAAAUUGGCAGGCCUCUGAUCAGGUUUUAAUAGAGUCAACAUCCUCGGCUGCACCAAUCCAAAAUCCUUCAACCUCUUAAACAGAGAGGCAUAAGUCACGGGCGGCUUAUUGAAAUGACGGUUUGUCGUCCUCCUUCUCAAUUGGCCCACUGCUCUUUGUGUCCUCUGUUGAGGUGACUGUUGCCGCUGUGGUGC
This 226-nucleotide long non-coding RNA is filed under the name Lathyrus oleraceus (garden pea). RNAcentral's name for it is "Pisum sativum (pea) long non-coding RNA (PSAT_LNC021360)". The record is from RNAcentral. Lineage: Eukaryota; Viridiplantae; Streptophyta; Magnoliopsida; Fabales; Fabaceae.